This 1095-nucleotide long non-coding RNA is filed under the name Brassica napus (rape). RNAcentral's name for it is "long non-coding RNA (BNAP_LNC004119)". The record is from RNAcentral. Lineage: Eukaryota; Viridiplantae; Streptophyta; Magnoliopsida; Brassicales; Brassicaceae.
CAGGUACGAGGUGACUAAGUUCAUAUAUGGAACAUCGUCGAUAAAGUUACCAGAAUGUUUCAUGAUCAACUCAUGGUCAAGGGAAGCAUGGAACAAAGAGUCUAACUGGUUAGGUUAUGUCGCGGUGGCUACAGACGAGUGCAAGGAGUUGUUAGGGAGAAGAGACAUUGUUGUAGCAUGGCGAGGGACUAUUCAACUGUACGAGUGGGCUAACGAUUUUGAUUUCCCACUUGAAUCAGCUAUCUCGGUUUUAUUUAUUUUCUAACCCAGUAUAACGUGCGUAUAUACACUUUAAAGCCUUCAACAUAAGGCAAAACUUAUGUGAAUGUUGUGUAUUCAAGACCAAUACUUCACGCAUUAAUUAUCCAAACAUUUUUGAAAACUCCAACAAAUUUUACAAGGCCACAAAGAGGAGCGGGGGAGGAAGAUUGGAUUCAGAAAGAAAAGUGAAAAUGGUGGAAGAUAUCGCUAAGAGAUGGAAGGAAUUGAGCGGCAAUAGCAAAUGGAAAGACCUGCUUGAUCCUCUUGACUUGGAUCUACGCCGUUACAUCCUCCACUACGGCCACAUGGUUGAAGUCGGGUACAUCACCUUCAAUUGUGGCCGCCUGUCCAAAUACGUAGGAGAUAGCUGCUACACCAAGGAAGAGCUCUUUGCUCGUACCGGCUACCUUAAAGACAACCCUUUCAGGUGAAAACUUAUCUACUUGUAUCAUACGGUUUGAGGAAUUUCGGUUAAAUUUAUAUUCCUAUACCUCUAUAUAAAACAUGUCCAGGUACGAGGUGACUAAGUUCAUAUAUGGAACAUCGUCGAUAAAGUUACCAGAAUGUUUCAUGAUCAACUCAUGGUCAAGGGAAGCAUGGAACAAAGAGUCUAACUGGUUAGGUUAUGUCGCGGUGGCUACAGACGAGUGCAAGGAGUUGUUAGGGAGAAGAGACAUUGUUGUAGCAUGGCGAGGGACUAUUCAACUGUAUGAGUGGGCUAACGAUUUUGAUUUCCCACUUGAAUCAGCUAUCUCGGUUUUACCUCGAGCUGACCCGAGUGACCCACCUCGCAUUGCCAGUGGUUGGCUGUCUCUUUAUACAACCGCUGAUCCA